CGGUUAUUUUUUUCUAACGAGGAAGUGAAGUCAAGUCCGCCAUUUCAUCUUCUUCUUUAUAUCGGAAAAGCUGAAGGAAAGGACAACUCUCACAUCAGUGCAUUACUAAUUGUUUGACUUCAUCAUCAAGCACACCAGCUCAGAUUGUGAUGGACCUGGAAUGCGACACCAGUUACUCUUAAGUCAAGAACCAAAUGAAGCACCAGAGUACAGAUUAUAGAGGUAUCUGAAGUUGAACUAACUGGAAGCAGGGAACCAUACUAAUAAAGUUCCUUUAGCAGGUUCCUUGUAAAGAUGAACCCAGGGAAGGAUCGAAAGUGGAGAAGACCAGAUCAAGAAAGACUACAUCAAGAUCUGCGGUCAGUUCAAAGGAUGUUUUGCAUUGGACUGUUUUUUUUGGCUUUGACCCUUGCUCGCCCCUGACCUCACUCUUUAACUGCCCUGUUGGAUUUUCAGUUUAUUUAUUUUUUUUUUAUUUAUUUAUUUUUUUUUUUGGUUCUGGGUAGAUGCUAAUAAAUAUUUAGUUGUAAUUAUUUAAAUAAUGUUUUUUUGUUAAAUAUGUGAUUUCUGUGUUUGUUCUGUCUACUCGUACUUGUUUAUCUUGUUUCUGUAAUUAUCAUUUGUUUAUUUGACCCCUGCCUCGCCUCUGAUCUUGUUUUUGAAUUGCCCUUUAUAUGUCUUUUUAAUUAUUGGUUCUGGUUAUAUGGUUAUAAAAUAUUUGUUAAUUUAAUUAAUAUGCAUUUUAUAAAAUAAUAUAUAUAUAUAUUUUCUGUGUUAAUUCUGUAUCUAUCUAAUUUGUAUAUACAUUUGUGUUUGAAUGUUCUUCUUAUUCUGUAUAUCCACUUACCUAAUUUUAACUUUUAUAUAUAUUUAUUUGCAUUUAAUUUGUGAUAAUUCUGUAUGCAUUUAUUUAUCUAAUUCAUAUAUUUCUUUGUAUUGCAUUGAUUAAUCUGUUGUUGUUUUUUGUAUGCAUCUAUUUAUAUAAUUUAUAUAAAUUAUAUAUUUGUAUUUAUCAAUUUAUAUGCUUCCUUUAAAGCAAUUUUUUAAAAUAAAGCA
This is a non-coding RNA of Danio rerio (zebrafish), 1056 nucleotides long. The record is from RefSeq and is a predicted model, not a curated record. Lineage: Eukaryota; Metazoa; Chordata; Actinopteri; Cypriniformes; Danionidae.